Molecule: ribosomal RNA, 301 nt
Filed under: uncultured bacterium
Lineage: Bacteria
Description: partial 16S ribosomal RNA
Rfam family: Bacterial small subunit ribosomal RNA
Source: RNAcentral
CAGCCGCCGCGGGAAUACGGAGGGGGCUAGCGUUGUUCGGAAUUACUGGGCGUAAAGCGCACGUAGGCGGCUUUGUAAGUCAGAGGUGAAAGCCCGGGGCUCAACCCCGGAAUUGCCUUUGAGGCUGCAUCGCUUGAAUCCAGGAGAGGUGAGUGGAAUUCCGAGUGUAGAGGUGAAAUUCGUAGAUAUUCGGAAGAACACCAGUGGCGAAGGCGGCUCACUGGACUGGUAUUGACGCUGAGGUGCGAAAGCGUGGGGAGCAAACAGGAUUAGAUACCCCCGUAGUCCCUGUCUCUUAUAC